This 165-nucleotide small RNA is filed under the name Gopherus agassizii (Agassiz's desert tortoise). Its description in RNAcentral is "TUC338 (ENSGAGG00000011138.1)". The record is from RNAcentral. Lineage: Eukaryota; Metazoa; Chordata; Testudines; Testudinidae.
GUGAAAGAUGCCAGCCAGACUGCCUAAAGAGAAUGAAGAAUAUGAAUGGGCAACAGCAGUGAAAGUUUCUCCAACACUGUCCUCUCAAUUUGCCUCAACCCUGAUACCAUCUUGAAGAGUGGGAAGGUUAAUUCAGUCUUUGAACGUACUCAGUUCUUAGCAUCU